RNAcentral lists this transfer RNA (96 nucleotides) under Actinomycetes bacterium. RNAcentral describes it as "tRNA-Sec". It matches the Rfam family "Selenocysteine transfer RNA". The record is from RNAcentral. Lineage: Bacteria; Bacillati; Actinomycetota; Actinomycetes. RNAcentral also lists the same sequence under 1 other name.
GGAGGUGAAUCCGUCCUGGUGGGCGGCGCGGUCUUCAAAACCGUUGUGGCGUCUUAACCGGCGCUGGGUAAGUUCGAUUCUUACGCACCUCCGCCA